Molecule: ribosomal RNA, 490 nt
Filed under: uncultured bacterium
Lineage: Bacteria
Description: partial 16S ribosomal RNA
Rfam family: Bacterial small subunit ribosomal RNA
Source: RNAcentral
AUUGAACGCUGGCGGCAGGCCUAACACAUGCAAGUCGAACGGUAACAGGAAACAGCUUGCUGUUUCGCUGACGAGUGGCGGACGGGUGAGUAAUGUCUGGGAAACUGCCUGAUGGAGGGGGAUAACUACUGGAAACGGUAGCUAAUACCGCAUAACGUCGCAAGACCAAAGAGGGGGACCUUCGGGCCUCUUGCCAUCGGAUGUGCCCAGAUGGGAUUAGCUAGUAGGUGGGGUAACGGCUCACCUAGGCGACGAUCCCUAGCUGGUCUGAGAGGAUGACCAGCCACACUGGAACUGAGACACGGUCCAGACUCCUACGGGAGGCAGCAGUGGGGAAUAUUGCACAAUGGGCGCAAGCCUGAUGCAGCCAUGCCGCGUGUAUGAAGAAGGCCUUCGGGUUGUAAAGUACUUUCAGCGGGGAGGAAGGGAGUAAAGUUAAUACCUUUACUCAUUGACGUUACCCUCAGAAGAAGCACCGGCUAACUCCGUG